CUGAAUAUGAUAAGCAAUGAUCGUGAACUUGGCGGCCUAGAGCUAAUCCAAGCGCCACUUCUCGAUGUGGAGGUCAGAGGCGCCCCUGCUCUCAGAUUCUUCGGCGAUGUGGUCUGGAAAUAGACGCUAGGAUGCCAGGCCGUGACGAGAAUUUUGUUAUUUCAUCUGAAACUCCACAGUACUGGUGGCGGCACUCAAAUUGUCUAGAAAUGUGGUUGAAUCUGGAGAAAAGAUGAAACCCAGCAGGAUACCAGACUGUUCAGGCUGUAGACGUUUGGUAGGUUCUUAAAUAAGAAACGGAGUAUUAGUUGCUGCCCUCACGUGUUUAUCUCUUAUUAAUUGGACAAUCCAUGAGUGUUGUUUCCGUUGGUGCAAUCGUCGAGUUUAACCCUAUACUUGUCAUGAAACAGAGCAUUUCUAAACGAAGCAAUCCCGUUGUUUUCAGUGGGUAGAGAGGUCUCUUCC
This 465-nucleotide long non-coding RNA is filed under the name Triticum aestivum (bread wheat). RNAcentral describes it as "long non-coding RNA (TAES_LNC024345)". Lineage: Eukaryota; Viridiplantae; Streptophyta; Magnoliopsida; Poales; Poaceae. The record is from RNAcentral.